RNAcentral lists this ribosomal RNA (488 nucleotides) under uncultured rumen bacterium. RNAcentral describes it as "bacterial SSU rRNA". It matches the Rfam family "Bacterial small subunit ribosomal RNA", at positions 60 to 527 of the family's 1533-position model. The record is from RNAcentral.
AGUCGGACGGGAUCGGGAAGGUAGCAAUAUCGGCCCGUGAGAGUGGCGGAAGGGCGAGGAACACGUGAGCAACCUGUCCUUGAGGUGGGGAAAACCGCUGGAAACGGCGGCUAAUACCGAAUGCGGCGCCGGGAGACAUCUCCCGAGCGCUAAAGGGGGCCGCAAGGCUCCCCCUCUUCGAGGGGCUCGCGCACCAUCAGCUUGUUGGCGGGGUAACGGCCCACCAAGGCUCACGGUUAGCUGGUCUGAGAGGAUGGCCAGCCGCACUGGGACUGAGAUACUGCCCAGACUCCUACGGGAGGCUGCAGUCGAGGAUCAUUCGCAAUGGGGGAAACCCUGACGAUGCGACGCUGCGUGGAGGAUGAAGGCCCUCGGGUCGUAAACUCCUGUCAUGAGGGAAAAGGCGAAGGGACCCAACACGUUCCCUAGUUGAUGGUACCUCAAGAGGAACGGGCGGCUAACUCUGUGCCAGCAACCGCGGUAAUACA